GAUGAACGCUGGCGGCGUGCCUAAUACAUGCAAGUCGAGCGAACAGACGAGGAGCUUGCUCCUCUGACGUUAGCGGCGGACGGGUGAGUAACACGUGGAUAACCUACCUAUAAGACUGGGAUAACUUCGGGAAACCGGAGCUAAUACCGGAUAAUAUAUUGAACCGCAUGGUUCAAUAGUGAAAGACGGUUUUGCUGUCACUUAUAGAUGGAUCCGCGCCGCAUUAGCUAGUUGGUAAGGUAACGGCUUACCAAGGCAACGAUGCGUAGCCGACCUGAGAGGGUGAUCGGCCACACUGGAACUGAGACACGGUCCAGACUCCUACGGGAGGCAGCAGUAGGGAAUCUUCCGCAAUGGGCGAAAGCUUGACGGAGCAACGCCGCGUGAGUUAUGAAGGUCUUCGGAUCGUAAAACUCUGUUAUUAGGGAAGAACAAAUGUGUAAGUAACUAUGCACGUCUUGACGGUACCUAAUCAGAAAGCCACGGCUAACUACGUG
This 497-nucleotide ribosomal RNA is filed under the name uncultured bacterium. RNAcentral's name for it is "partial 16S ribosomal RNA". It matches the Rfam family "Bacterial small subunit ribosomal RNA", at positions 28 to 507 of the family's 1533-position model. The record is from RNAcentral.